AUCGCCCAAAAUAAGAUGGGCCGCUGAAUGCAAUGAGGCAUCAUCCAAUGGUAGCAAGCUUUUAUUGUCUUGCGGAAAAUAGCAAAGUUUUAUGUUCAAACAGAAAAUUACAACUUCGUACCUUCGAUUGUUUCACAUCUCUAGUCAUGCUCUAAAGCAGAAUAAAAGAUUGCUUUGGCUUAUAUACUAAACUAAACUAAGGUGGUGGGAAUUUUGGAAUGCUGUUACGUC
Molecule: long non-coding RNA, 231 nt
Filed under: Elaeis guineensis (African oil palm)
Lineage: Eukaryota; Viridiplantae; Streptophyta; Magnoliopsida; Arecales; Arecaceae
Description: long non-coding RNA (EGUI_LNC022491)
Source: RNAcentral